UGGAACCACAGUGUUCCGCGCUG
RNAcentral lists this small nuclear RNA (23 nucleotides) under Arabidopsis thaliana (thale cress). RNAcentral's name for it is "snRNA_18766". The record is from RNAcentral. Lineage: Eukaryota; Viridiplantae; Streptophyta; Magnoliopsida; Brassicales; Brassicaceae.